GUCAAAAUAAGAACUUAUCGAAUAGAUCUAUAUAAAUAGAAUCUGCCAGGUGGCAGAAA
This 59-nucleotide non-coding RNA is filed under the name unclassified sequences. The record is from Rfam.